CCCUGGGGUUGCCUAGUCUUCUCAGAACCUUGUUUUCACACACAUGAAGGAGUGCAACCACACCACCCACAGACUUCAAAAUUUACACUGGCUCGUCAUUCAGUUAAGGAUCUUUCCUAAAUUGCCUUCCUUGUUAUUUUGAAUUUUCUCCCUGACCUUCCUCCAGUUCCCUGAAAUGGCUUCACCUCUGUCAGCUUCUCCCUCACUCUGUGGCUUCAGUAUCAACCAUCAAGUCCUGGAGAGGACUGGCUUCCUGUUCCACCAAUAAAUCCCUGUCAGCUGAGGCGGGUGCAUAGCGAGAACUCUCCUUGCUGCCUUUUUUCCCAGCCCAAUUCUUCCUGCUCAUCCCUACCAAAUUCUUUUUCUCCCAGAGAGGUUUUUAUGACAUCCUUGCUCCAAAUCCAUUUACAAGAUUCAGUCCAAAAUCAUCAGCUGGAUAUAAUGGACCCCCCACAAUCUGGCAUCUUAAACCUUAUCUACUGCAAUUGCUCUUGCACCUUGAUUCCAGUUAGCAAUGCCUGUUCUCUAUUUUAAACAAUGACUAAUUUAUCCAACUCUAUUCAUUUGCUCAAACUAUUUUCUUGCCUACAAUAGCCUCCCAACAUUUUUCCACUCAAUAGUUUCACUCUUGUCGCCCAGGCUGGAGUGCAAUGGUGCGAUCUUGGCUCACUGCAACCUCCGCCUCCCAGGUUCAAGCAACUCUCCUGCCUCAGUCUCCCGAGUAGCUGGGAUUACAGGUUAUCAUGAGAGUGAGCCAAGGAGGAACAACUAGAGGAUGGAGUGGAGGAUCAGACAAAGCUUACCCAAGAAGUAAGAUAAAGGCUGAGAAGCUGAGGCUUGAGAAGACUUUAGGCAGGGUAAUAGUAAAAGAAGGAUCAUUCCUGGGACAAAGAACAUAAUGGUGCAAAGGUCUUUACCUAAGAAGCAUCAGUACAAGUACUAGGGACAGAGGGGGUAGAAGUGAGACAGAGAGUGGCUGGACAAAACAGGGUUCCAUCAAGCCAGGCCUCACUGGGCCAUCUUAACCUAAAAAUGCAGCUGAGGCCUGGAAGAGCCAUGUAAGCUGGAACAUCUAAAAAAGCUUUUUCCCUCCAUUCAUUUAAGAGGCUUAAGUCAUUUGGAAAAAACAUGUAUCCUAAAAUAUCAAUAAAUUAUAUGCAACUUCUCUCCCUUUAUACUGGAAGUCCUAGAUCUACAGAUAUAAUCUAAGUAUCUGUGCUUAAAUCAUUGAAAGCACAUUUAUAGAACACUAUUUUUAGAAAACUAAAUAUUCUCUCUUAACUAUAGUAUAAGUUUGUGGCUAUUACCUCUAGCAAAUCUUGAGAAACGUAGGAAGAAGGUCAUAGAAGUUUUCAAAUGCAACAAAAUGCAUUUCAACAAAAUACUGAAGUUUGAGUAAAAUACAAGACAGAAAAAUUUAAUCAUACUAAUGGAGUCGAUAAUGAGUUUUCUGCUGUAAUAUCUGAAAGCACACUUUAGUCUAAAAUAAAGAACGUUACUUUUUUCCACUUAUUGAAGUUUAUUAGGUAUAAAGAAAUGAAUCUGCAGAUAGUCAUAAUUCAAUAAAAAAUGCAAGUGAAAUACGGGAGGAAUUGCAGACUAUAGUGUCAGUGAG
Molecule: long non-coding RNA, 1615 nt
Filed under: Homo sapiens (human)
Lineage: Eukaryota; Metazoa; Chordata; Mammalia; Primates; Hominidae
Description: HSALNT0367051
Source: RNAcentral